UGCGUAGAGAUGUGGAGGAAUACCGAUGGCGAAGGCAGCCCCCUGGGCCAACACUGACGCUCAUGCACGAAAGCGUGGGGAGCAAACAGGAUUAGAUACCCUGGUAGUCCACGCCCUAAACGAUGUCAACUAGUUGUUGGGGAUUCAUUUCCUUAGUAACGCAGCUAACGCGUGAAGUUGACCGCCUGGGGAGUACGGUCGCAAGAUUAAAACUCAAAGGAAUUGACGGGGACCCGCACAAGCGGUGGAUGAUGUGGAUUAAUUCGAUGCAACGCGAAAAACCUUACCUACCCUUG
This 296-nucleotide ribosomal RNA is filed under the name uncultured beta proteobacterium. RNAcentral's name for it is "partial 16S ribosomal RNA". It matches the Rfam family "Bacterial small subunit ribosomal RNA", at positions 687 to 983 of the family's 1533-position model. The record is from RNAcentral. Lineage: Bacteria; Pseudomonadati; Pseudomonadota; Betaproteobacteria.